RNAcentral lists this ribosomal RNA (424 nucleotides) under uncultured bacterium. RNAcentral's name for it is "partial 16S ribosomal RNA". It matches the Rfam family "Bacterial small subunit ribosomal RNA", at positions 359 to 774 of the family's 1533-position model. The record is from RNAcentral.
GAAUAUUGGCCAAUGGGGGGACCCCUGUUCCAGCCUUGCCCCGUGUGUGAAGAAGGCUUUUUGGUUGUAAACACUUUUAAUCGGGGAGGAGGCGUCUUUGUUCAUUCCCAAGGCGUCUUGGCCGUUCCCCGCAGACUACCACCCGCUUAACCCUGUGCCAGCGCCCGCGGUAAUACAGAGGGUGCAAGCGUUAAUCGGAUUUACUGGGCGUAAAGCGCGCGUAGGUGGCCAAUUAAGUCAAAUGUGAAAUCCCCGAGCUUAACUUGGGAAUUGCAUUCGAUACUGGUUGGCUAGAGUAUGGGAGAGGAUGGUAGAAUUCCAGGUGUAGCGGUGAAAUGCGUAGAGAUCUGGAGGAAUACCGAUGGCGAAGGCAGCCAUCUGGCCUAAUACUGACACUGAGGUGCGAAAGAAUGGGGAGCAAACA